Molecule: ribosomal RNA, 253 nt
Filed under: uncultured bacterium
Lineage: Bacteria
Description: partial 16S ribosomal RNA
Rfam family: Bacterial small subunit ribosomal RNA
Source: RNAcentral
UACGUAGGGUGCAAGCGUUGUCCGGAAUUAUUGGGCGUAAAGAGCUCGUAGGCGGUUUGUUGCGUCGGCUGUGAAAUCCCGAGGCUCAACCUCGGGCCUGCAGUCGAUACGAGCAAACUAGAGUGUUGCAGGGGAGACUGGAAUUCCUGGUGUAGCGGUGAAAUGCGCAGAUAUCAGGAGGAACACCGGUGGCGAAGGCGGGUCUCUGGGCAACAACUGACGCUGAGGAGCGAAAGCGUGGGGAGCAAACAGG